CCGACCUUAGCUCAAUUGGUAGAGCGGAGGACUGUAGUCGGGUGAAUCUUACAGUUAAAUCCUUAGGUCGCUGGUUCGAAUCCGGCAGGUCGGA
RNAcentral lists this transfer RNA (94 nucleotides) under Musa acuminata subsp. malaccensis (wild Malaysian banana). It matches the Rfam family "tRNA". From Rfam's summary of the family: Transfer RNA (tRNA) molecules are approximately 80 nucleotides in length. Their secondary structure includes four short double-helical elements and three loops (D, anti-codon, and T loops). The record is from Rfam by way of RNAcentral. Lineage: Eukaryota; Viridiplantae; Streptophyta; Magnoliopsida; Zingiberales; Musaceae.